This 271-nucleotide ribosomal RNA is filed under the name uncultured soil bacterium. RNAcentral's name for it is "partial 16S ribosomal RNA". It matches the Rfam family "Bacterial small subunit ribosomal RNA", at positions 26 to 281 of the family's 1533-position model. The record is from RNAcentral.
AGAAUGAACGCUGGCGGCGUGCUUAACACAUGCAAGUCGAGCGAGGCCAGGGGGGCAACUCCCUGAGUCGAGCGGCGGACGGGUGAGUAACACGUGGGUAACCUACCCGGAAGUGGGGAAUACCUCGGGGAAACUCGAGCUAAUACCGCAUGACAUCUUUGGGACGAAAGUUCUGACGAUCGAAAGCGGGGUCGCAAGAUCUCGCGCUACCGGAUGGGCCCGCGCCCGAUUAGCUAGUUGGUGAGGUAACGGCUCACCAAGGCUUCGGAUC